Molecule: ribosomal RNA, 411 nt
Filed under: uncultured microorganism
Description: bacterial SSU rRNA
Rfam family: Archaeal small subunit ribosomal RNA
Source: RNAcentral
GUGCACCAGGCGCGAAACCUUCGCAAUGCGGGAAACCGCGACGAGGGGACUCCCAGUGCCUACGCUCAGCGUAGGCUGUUCCCGAGCCUAGAAAGCUCGGGGAGUAAGGGCUGGGUAAGACGGUGCCAGCCGCCGCGGUAAUACCCGCAGCCCGAGUGGUGGCCACUAUUAUUGGGCCUAAAGCGUCCGUAGCCGGCCCGGUAAAUGCCUGGGUAAAUCGUGAGGCCUAACCUCACGAAUUCCGGGUAGACUGCCGGGCUAGGGACCGGAGGAGGGAGAGGGUACUCCAGGGGUAGGGGUGAAAUCCUGUAAUCCCUGGAGGACCACCGGUGGCGAAGGCGCUCUCCUAGGACGGUCCGACGGUGAGGGACGAAAGCCAGGGGAGCGAACCGGAUUAGAUACCCGUGUAGU